Molecule: non-coding RNA, 23 nt
Filed under: Arabidopsis thaliana (thale cress)
Lineage: Eukaryota; Viridiplantae; Streptophyta; Magnoliopsida; Brassicales; Brassicaceae
Source: RNAcentral
GAACCUUGCUCAAUCAGAUGGCA